GUGCCAGCAGCCGCGGUAAUACAGAGACUGCAAGCGUUAUUCGGAUUCACUGGGCGUAAAGGGUGCGCAGGCGGCCGAGUGUGUUAGAUGUGAAAUCCCGGGGCUCAACCCCGGAACUGCGUCUAAAACUACUUGGCUAGAGUAUUGGAGAGGGUAUCGGAAUUCACGGUGUAGCAGUGAAAUGCGUAGAUAUCGUGAGGAACACCAGAGGCGAAGGCGGAUACCUGGACAAUUACUGACGCUCAGGCACGAAAGCGUGGGGAGCAAAAGGGAUUAGAAACCCUCGUAGUCC
Molecule: ribosomal RNA, 292 nt
Filed under: uncultured bacterium
Lineage: Bacteria
Description: partial 16S ribosomal RNA
Rfam family: Bacterial small subunit ribosomal RNA
Source: RNAcentral